GACGAACGCUGGCGGCGUGCUUAACACAUGCAAGUCGAACGGAAAGGCCCUGCUUUUGUGGGGUGCUCGAGUGGCGAACGGGUGAGUAACACGUGAGUAACCUGCCCUUGACUUUGGGAUAACUUCAGGAAACUGGGGCUAAUACCGGAUAGGAGCUCCUGCUGCAUGGUGGGGGUUGGAAAGUUUCGGCGGUUGGGGAUGGACUCGCGGCUUAUCAGCUUGUUGGUGGGGUAGUGGCGUACCAAGGCUUUGACGGGUAGCCGGCCUGAGAGGGUGACCGGCCACAUUGCGACUGAGAGACGGCCCAGACUGGUACGGGAGGCAGCAGUGGGGAAUAUUGCGCAAUGGGCGGAAGCCUGAUGCGGCAACGCCGCGUGCGGGAUGACGGCCUACGGGUGGUAAACCGCUUUCGCCUGUGACGAAGCGUGAGUGACGGUAAUGGGUAAAGAAGCACCGGCUAACUACGUG
Molecule: ribosomal RNA, 468 nt
Filed under: uncultured bacterium
Lineage: Bacteria
Description: partial 16S ribosomal RNA
Rfam family: Bacterial small subunit ribosomal RNA
Source: RNAcentral